This 62-nucleotide transfer RNA is filed under the name Mazarredia convexa. RNAcentral's name for it is "tRNA-Glu". Lineage: Eukaryota; Metazoa; Arthropoda; Insecta; Orthoptera; Tetrigidae. The record is from RNAcentral.
AUUUGAGUAGUUUAUAAAAACAUUACACUUUCAUUGUAAAAAUAACUUAGAGUUCUUAAAUA